RNAcentral lists this long non-coding RNA (646 nucleotides) under Sus scrofa (pig). RNAcentral describes it as "lncRNA (ENSSSCG00005038610.1)". Lineage: Eukaryota; Metazoa; Chordata; Mammalia; Artiodactyla; Suidae. The record is from RNAcentral.
GCACAACCCAGCAGCCCACUCCUGUCUGCUUGCUGCUCAAGUUCAACUCUGGUCAGCAGCCGCUUCAGGCAGGUGCCUUAGGUCUCAGAGUCCCCAGCUCCUGGCCACUGAAUCAGGGCUGGUGGCCCCUCCCCCGCUGGCCUGCCCAACGGUGGCAGCUGUGGGCGUGGCAUCCUGCAGCCACCAGGCCCAUCUGCGGGUUUACGCUGGGCAUCCUCCCUGAGAGGGCGGGACAGUCGUCUGUCACUUUUACAAAUAAAUAAAGAGACAAGGCACGGUCAAUGACUUGCCUGAGAUUGUGAGUAAAAGCUACCGGACUCUCCAGAACGAACCACAAAAUCUCCAACUACAUCCUGACUCGGAGUGUUACCCUCUGGAAUCAAAACGGUGGCUUAAAAAGCAAAGCAGAAGUUACUCUUGUGUGAACCAGAGGAGCUGUGAACGUAUAAAAUUAGUGGCCGGAGUUCCCUUACGGUGCAGCGGGUUAAGGAUCCGCAGUUGUCACCGUGGCCGCCCGGGUCACUGCUGUGGCUCGGGUUCCAUCUCUGGAAGCCACAUGCUGUGCUUGCAGCCAACAAAAGCUAGUGACAAUGGCCAAUUCUUUAAUUAAUUCCACCUGCUUUAAAACUGGAAGUACGAAUGUGAG